CACUGUCGAACCUGGUUGAUCCUGCCAGUAGUCAUAUGCUUGUCUCAAAGAUUAAGCCAUGCACGUGUCAGCAUCAACUUUAGCACGGUUAGGCUGCGGAUGGCUCACUACAACAGUUGUAAUCUCAGCAAUGUUUGGCUGCUAGAUGGAUAACUGUGGAAAACCUAGGGCUAAUACAUGCAUUCCUCCUGACUCAGUGGAAAGGAAGUGUUCAUUAGCAACAGAACUGGCCCAAGUUACGCUUGGUCACAUGAGGAGUCCUGAUGAAAGAGCAAAUUGCACAGCUCUGGCUGGCAAUGGAGUGCUUGAGCUUCUGACCUAUCAGCUUCCGACGCUAGGGUAUUGGCCUACCGUGGCAAUGACGGGUGACGGAGAAUUAGGGUUCGAUUCCGGAGAGGGAGCCUGCCAAACGGCUACCACAUCUAAGGAAGGCAGCAGGCGCGCAAAUUACCCAAUUCUGACACAGAGAGGUAGUGACAAGAAAUAACAAUAUGGGGCAUCCAUGUCCUGUAAUUGGAAUGAGCAGCGUCCAAAUUUCCUUGUGAGGAUCAAUUGGAGGGCAAGUCUGGUGCCAGCAGCCGCGGUAAUUCCAGCUCCAAUAGCGUAUAUUAAAGCUGUUGCGGUUGAAAAGCUCGUAGUUGGUUUUCUGUUGAGGGCAACCAGUCCGCCCACUGGGUGAGUAUCUGACUUGCUCUCGGCAUCUCUCUGGAAAUUGCUGCUGCACUUGACUGUGUGGUGCAUGACCCAGAGCCAUUACUUUGAGGAAAUUGGGGUGUUUCAAGCAGGCCUUGGCUGUUGAACACAUUAGCAUGGAAUAGUCAGCGAGACUCCAGCUCUUUCUUGCUGGUUUCUAGAGCUGGGGUAAGGGUCAAGAGGGAUGGUUGGGGGUAUCCGAACUUGGCUGUCAGAGGUGAAAUUCUUGGAUUUGCCAAAGUCGCACGACUGCGAAAGCAUUUAUCCAAAAUGUCUUCAUUGAUCAAGAACGAAAGUUAGGGGAUCGAAGACGAUCAGAUACCGUCCUAGUCUUAACCAUAAACGAUGCCAACUAGGAAUUGGAGGCUGUCUUCACUUUGACUCCUUCAGCACCAUAAGAGAAAUCAAAGUCUUUGGGUUCCGGGGGGAGUAUGGUCGCAAGGCUGAAACUUAAAGGAAUUGACGGAAGGGCACCACCAGGAGUGGAGCCUGCGGCUUAAUUUGACCCAACACGUGGAAACUCACCAGGCCCAGACACAGGAUGGAUUGACAGAUUGAUCGUUCUUUCAUGAUUCUGUGGGUGGUGGUGCAUGGCCGUUCUUAGUUGGUGGAGUGAUUUGUCAGGUUAAUUCCGUUAACGAACGAGACCUUAACUUGCUAAAUAUCCACGUGCAGCCCAUCUGCUUCACGGUUGGCUUCUUAGAGGGACUUUGUGUUUCCAACAUGAGGAGGUUUGAGGCAAUAACAGGUCUGUGAUGCCCUUAGAUGUCCUGGGCUGCACGCGCGCUACACUGGCGCUCUCAGUGAGUUCUCGUCUUGCCCGAAAUGGUUGGGUACCCUCUGAAACCAGCGCCGUGAUGGGGAUAGAUUAUUGCAAGUAUUAAUCUUCAACGAGGAAUUCCUAGUAAGCGUGAGUCAUCAGCCCAUGUACUCUGCGU
Molecule: ribosomal RNA, 1631 nt
Filed under: Amphidinium sp.
Lineage: Eukaryota; Dinophyceae; Amphidiniales; Amphidiniaceae
Description: SSU rRNA
Rfam family: Eukaryotic small subunit ribosomal RNA
Source: RNAcentral